This 64-nucleotide transfer RNA is filed under the name Pachycondyla annamita. RNAcentral's name for it is "tRNA-Ser". The record is from RNAcentral. Lineage: Eukaryota; Metazoa; Arthropoda; Insecta; Hymenoptera; Formicidae.
GAAAUAUUUUAUACAUUUGAAUUUCUAACUCAAAUUUUAGUGAUUUUAUUAUCAUUAUAUUUCU